This 25-nucleotide non-coding RNA is filed under the name Cricetulus griseus (Chinese hamster). The record is from RNAcentral. Lineage: Eukaryota; Metazoa; Chordata; Mammalia; Rodentia; Cricetidae.
UCUUUGUAGGUAUUUCUGACCUAGG